Molecule: long non-coding RNA, 1374 nt
Filed under: Homo sapiens (human)
Lineage: Eukaryota; Metazoa; Chordata; Mammalia; Primates; Hominidae
Description: HSALNT0337159
Source: RNAcentral
CUCUAGCUAGCUAGCUAGCUAGCUAGCUCUUCUGCUGCCUCAGGUGAGAAACUGAGGAUGUCAGGAAGCAUCAGGCAGCCCCUAAGGAUGAGGUCGUAAUCAAGCUUGAUUGAAACCAUUCCAACUCUAGAAUUUUCAGCUGUGCCAAUCAAUACAUUUUCUUUAAUCUUAAAUUAGCUAGCAUUUUAAGAUCUUUGUUGCUUACAGCCAAAGAAACUUAACUGAUAAAGUCAUUUGGAAGAAAUCCUACUCCAGGUAUACAGGGAACAGAAUUAAUGAGUUCCCAAGAUGAUUGCCUUAUGGUGGCAACAGCAGUUGCCUGGCAGAAGAUAGGAAAUCUGUCUUAAUAGUGCCUUCUAGGACCCAAAUUUGUCCUGCUCUGGUAGAAAUCCUAGAAGAUCAGGAAUACAGGAGAUGCAAUUAGUGUUUAGGAUCUUCAUUUAACAGCACACAUCUGUGUCUUCCCUUGGCAUAAAUACUGGGAGAAUGCAGUACUCAGGAUUUUUAUAUCCUCUUAUUGGAAUUACCCACAUAAUAUAUGAUUUAUUGCCUAUAGACUUCUCAAUUUCUAUGUACACAAUAGCAGCACUACCAUAUUUUUUAAUUCAAAUGAAAUGCAUGAAGAUGUUUGGGUAGAAGUAAUAGAAAAGUUUAGUAAUGAAUAAUGUUUCAUUAUUCUGUCUAUUUUCUGAACAUCAGUCAUUAUCAAAUAUAGACUCAUAAUCAAAUAAUAAUACAUACACCUACAAUAUUUUGAUUAUGAUGUUUUUAGAAACAUACAUCUCUUUUCCCUCCUACUGAUUAAUCUCCUUGCUGUUUAAGCAGCAAAGCUGCUUUCCACUCAGUAUCUCAGGGAAAGGAUAUGACAUGGUAGACAACAGAAAACAAAUGAAACAACUCCCCCACACUCCCCAAAUUCAGGAAACUUCCUGGCAAAAAGCUCACUCCUUUAGGACAAUAGAGAGUCUCUGGGUAGAGCCAAAUUAUAUAAGAGAAACAUCAAGGGUGACUGUUGCUUUCGCCUUCUGGAGAGGAAAAGAUUCCCAGGGGUUUAUAUAGAAAAGGAAGGGGAAAAGAGGGAACAGGGAGGAUGUGGUGGCAGUGCGUUUGGAUGGGUUUCAAAGAGGGAGCCCCAGUUCCAUCAAGGACCUUGGAGCCCCUGGAGGCUUCUCCCUCGGGUUCUGUGGGGCCAAGGAGAGGCGUCCCCUCAAUCCCACCUGGAUUCCCUGCUGGAUCAGCCCUAGAAGGAAGCUUCCUGGGGCUGCUCCCACUUCUGCUUAAGUGUGGCUACACCGUGGAGGGUGGGUCCUUAGGAAUGUGGCAAGGGCAGCAAGAUUGAGGGGGCCAUAGUGGUGCGGGCAUGUGGAGGGGGCA